GAUUCCACACAGGAAGGUCACACCAUCCCUCACCAUCAUCAGGGUGGAAACCUGAUAUAUUCUAAAGUGGAGGUGAAUACAGAAGAAGAGACUUAUUUGAGCGAUGAUCAGCAGUCUAUGGAAGAGGAUGGAAUAAUGAGGCUAAUUCUAGAGGACGGCAGUCUUACAGAGAUCAGCACAGUAGAUGGACGGGAGAUGAGGAAAACCUCAGAGGAUAGUCU
This is a long non-coding RNA of Rana temporaria (common frog), 221 nucleotides long. RefSeq lists it as uncharacterized. The transcript is spliced from 3 exons. NCBI's taxonomy places the organism in Eukaryota, Metazoa, Chordata, Amphibia, Anura, Ranidae. The record is from RefSeq and is a predicted model, not a curated record.